Molecule: long non-coding RNA, 5555 nt
Organism: Loxodonta africana (African savanna elephant)
Lineage: Eukaryota; Metazoa; Chordata; Mammalia; Proboscidea; Elephantidae
Exons: 7
Source: RefSeq, a predicted model, not a curated record
GGGCGCGCGCGUGGACCAGAGGGGCGAAGGCGCGAGAGCGCUAGUGCGCGUGCGCGAGCGGCGGGGCUUUCUCUCCCGCCGUCGGAGGAAACCGGAGCGCUUGUCCUGAGGCAUCUCUACAUCCUCCCCACCGCGGAGACAGGGCCUCCCGAGAGGAGUUGCCCACCUGGCAGCGUCGUCUCCACCUUUGUUUCCUGCCCAGAGGGAUGCUGGCAGGAGGGCUGUUGUGAAGAACCAUGCAUCUCAGCUGAACUCUGUGGAUAGCCUCUUGCUUGCCCAUGGUGCCAUGCUAGCAUCACCUGCCAGAGAAAACCAGUGUUCUGAGUGAGUGUCCAGAUGAAGUGCCCUUGGCAGGAUUGAUGAACAGGAAGUGGUAAACUUUGACCUGGUCCUGGGAGAAUGAGAAGAUACUACAAGGACCGAGGAAAGGGUCCUGAACACAACUCCAGAAGUUAAUUUUAUAGCCUUUUAGGAAACGCAGUGUGGGCAGAAGAAGGAAGCUGGCUGUCUAGGCUUCGGCAAUAUUGAUGUUAGUUGACUCAGAGAGUCAAAGAGACAGAACGUCCCUUGAACAUUAAGGAGUCAAAAAGAGAUCCCUAAGCACUCAAAAAAGUCAUAGAAAAAGGAAAGUUUAAAAAAAGAAAGAAAAGAAAAUGUAUUAAACAUCUACCUUCAGCUUGGCACUUGCCUUUUUUUUUUUUAAUCAAUUUUGCCACCGUCUGUCCUCUCCCUCAUCUCCUAGGGAAGAGGUUGCAUACCUCUAGGGGGAGUGUCUUAGUUAUCUAGUGCUGCUUUAACCAAGAGAAAUUUAUUUUCUCAGUCUAGUGGCUAGAAGUCCAAAUUCAGGGCAACAGCUCCAGGAGAAGGCUUUCUGUCUGUCAGCUCGGAAGAAAGGUCCUUGUCAUCAAUCUUCCUUUGGACUAGGAGCUUCUUGCCGCAGGAAGCUCAGAUCCAAAGGACACGGUCUGCCCCCGGCGCUACUUUCUUGGUGAUGUGAGGCCCCCUUUCUCUCUGCUUGCUUCUCCUUUUUAAAACUCAAGAGAGAUUGGUUCAAAACAUAAUCCAAUCUUGUAGAUUGAGUUUGGCCUCAUUAACAUAACUGUCUCCUAUCCCACCUCAUUAACAUCAUAGAGGUAGGAUUUACAACUCAUAGGAAAAACACAUCAGAUGACAAAAUGGUGGACAAUCACACAAUACUGGGAAUCAUGGCUUAGCCAAAUUGAUACUUGUAUUUUGGGGGGAUACAAUUCAAUCCAUGACAGGGAGCCAUUCUUGAGAAGCAUGGAAAGUCCCUUCUUGGGGAUUUCCCCCUUUCGCUGGAAAGUUUGCAGACCAUCUCCCAUUCCCCCAUGAUGAUCCAUUGCUCCUUGCUUCUGUAUUCUUAGAUGCUUAGGCCUCUGUUUGUCUCUGACUUCCAGCUUCUGUAAAGGGGCUCUCACCCUCCCACCCCCCUUUAAUGUCCAUAUUGGACAAAGCUAUUUGGCUUGACCAGCCCCUUUUUCAGCUGCAAGCCUGGCCUCCGGCCCAAUGAUAAGCACCCACCCUUCUUGUUUCUAUUUCAGAUAUUGAGCUGCUCACAGCUCUGUGGGUCUCCUGCAGAUUAACUGGGCUAGGCAUUCUGUCCCAGGCCCCAGGCUGCAGGUUGGGUUCAAGUCUGCUCCGCAUGUCUUGUUCUGGAGCCUAGGCCAAAGGGUCAGCAGCUACCUAGAGCAUGUUCUUCUCAUGGUGGAUCAGCAGAGCACAAGGGAGCACCCCAGCCACGCAAGCACAUUUCAGGCCUCUGUUGACAUCACGUGUCCAGCCAGAAGUUGCGAGGCAGGUGUCUUCCACUCUCCAUGAAGCCGUUAGUGGACUGUGAAUGAUUUUAUUACAAGAGGAUGACAAACAUGGACCAGUAAUUCAGUGUCUCAGAUUUUCAAACAACACUUUAGUUCAGAAGUAACUGUUGUGAGUCUUCUGAACCUCUUUCGAAGAGCAGAACCUUCAAAGAAUAGGGAGUGGCUUGAUGUGGAACAGCGUGGCACGCAAAGGAGGACCAGUGAGGACUGCAGAGCCUGGUGACAGAAGAAAAGAUUGGGCCAGGACAGAGAAGUCCUUGCCACACCCAGGAGACCCCUGAGUUUCUUGCGUACCUUGUGCAAAUCUUCCUUAGACUCCUGCAUGCUACAAGAGGAGCAGCUUUCCUAGUCAACUACAUAUGUCUUACUCAUGGCAUAAAAGCCCUUGGCCUACAUCUGCAGAGCAAAAGUUGAUCUCAAGAUCUGCUCAAAUAUGACUUGACAGCUUCAUUUCUUGAGGAAGUGGGAAAAAUUACUGGUGAUCUACCCACUACACAAUUUUGUUAAACACAAUAAACUGUGUAUAGUUCCCAUUUCAUUGUAUGGGUUCGGACAUUCCUUGUGAAACCUCUGUUUGUCCUUAAAAAGUCUCUAGUAAAUGAACCUCUUCAGGAAUUGAACACGGGGCCUGGGCAGGAAGGACCUAACUGACAGCUAUAUAGGAAGGAGUCUGAUGCCCUGGGUGACAAGAUAUCCCUACCUCAACUUUACCCUGCACUCCCAGAUUGAACCUGCAUACAGGCCACCUUUCCUGUAUCUCUUGCUUUAACUCCCAUUCAUUGAUUGCCUACUACGUGCCAGGCAUCAUUUUGGGUGCUUCACCAAUAUUUCAGUGUAAUUCUCAACAAUAGCGCUGUGAGGAAGACAAUAUUACUCCCACUGUAAAGCUGAGGAAACCGAGGGUCAGAGAGGGGCAGUAAUUUGCUGAAGAUCUCAGAGCUAGUAAGUGGCAAGGGCCCUAUACAUAUUAUUAUGACUCUCCUAAUUAUUCCAGCUCAGCAGAUCACAGGAUGAAACACCCAAAAAUGAUAAUUUCAACCCAGCAAUGGUGCUUAGAGCAAUAAUGGUUUUUUCCUGCUCUAAAGGCCCAACGCAGAAACAGGGAUCCCUGGUAAAAGACAAGGAGUCACCACACAAUGUGAGUUUUGGCCCAUUUGAAGAAGUCUAUCACAUACCACUUUCCCGUACCUCCUUGGCUCCAAUUCCUCAAUCAUGUUCCUUCCAAGUCACUGUCUAUCCAGCCAAACCAUUGACCACAGCCCAUGAAUUGCAUAUCUGGCCAUUUAUCCUUCCAAGCAGAGUGAACAACCAGGUGCACUACUUGAAGUUCUGCCAUUUGGAAGAUAUCCCUUCGCCACUGUCCUUCAGGGAAGUCCCAGAAAUGGGCUGCAGCGCUGCCGCUGUGCACAUUCAAGUGGUUCCUACAUAUUAUGCAGAACAGUCAAUACGCCAGGCACGAAUUUUCUCUUCCUCAGGCAACUGAUCAUGAGGCAGUCCCAAUGAGGCCAUAGGUGCAAACUGGGAGAGGGCAGGUAAUGUGACAGGAGUGGGGACCAUGAUAUUUGGGCCAUUUCCUCAUGCAAAUUGCUUGAGUGUUAGGUCAUGCUCAGGCCCUGUAUUGUAUAUACCUCUUCCAUUUAAUGAUGGAGUGCUGCCGUGCACAUCCAAUUUUAUGGCUCUGUGGGUCAGACAACACCAAAUUCGUGAUGGGUGACUCAGGCCACAUGGUGAUUUGGUGGCCCAUAGUUAAGAGUUCAGUCUCUACUAAGACCCAGUAACAAGACAAAAACUGUUUUGCAAAAGGAGAGUAGUUAACUGUGUAGGAUGGCAGGGCUUUGCUCCAAAAUCCUAAAGAUCUGCACUGUGAUUCACCAAUAGGAGCCUGCCAAAGACCCCAAAUAACAUCUUUAUUUGCAACUGACUCUGCAAACAUCACUGGAUCAGCUGGAUCUUAUGGCUCAAGUGACAGAACAGCUUGCAUGUCAGUCUGAACCUUUUGAAAGGCCUUCUCUUGUUCUGGGCCACACUCAAAAUUAGCAGUUUUUCAAGUCACUUGAUAAAUAGGCUGGAGUAAGCACACUUAAAUGAGGGGUAUGUUGCUUCCAAAAUACAAAGACGUCUAGCAGGGUUUGUGCCUCCUUUUUAGUUGUAGGAGGGGCCAAAUACAUCAACUUAUCCUUCACUUUACAAGGAACAUCUUGACAUGCCCACACCACUGGAGCCCUAGAAAGUUCGCUGAGGUGGAAAACAUCUGAAUUUUUUGGGAAUAAUUCCCACCCUCUACAACGCAAAUGUUGUACCAAUAACUCUAGAGUCAUUGAUACUUCUUGCUUUCUAAGUCCAAUCAACAGAAUAUCAUCAAUGUAACAGACCAGUGUGAAGUAUUGUGGAAAGGAAAGGCGAUUAAGGUCCCUGUUGAUUAAAUGAUCACAUAGGGCUAGAGAGUUGACAUACUGCUGAGAUAAGACAAUGAAGGUGUAUUGCUGGCCUUGCCAUCUGAAGGCAAACUGCUUCAGUUGGUCCUUUAAAACAGGGAUGGAAAAAAAUGAUUGGCCAGAUUAAUGGCUGCAUACCCCAGGAAAUAUAUUAAUUUGCAGGCCACGUUCCCAAGGAAACGCCUCUUCCAACUGAUUGGCUGCUCAUAUCAGACCUUAAAAUGGAGUGUGAUUACAUAAUGUCUGCCAAACCCCUGAGAAUCAUGGCCUACCCAAGUUGACACAUAACAUUAACCAUCACAGUGGUGAUAAAAAUGUUUUGAGGUAGAUACUGGUGAUGCUGAAUAGGAUUGUGAAAGUACGUAAACCACUAUAUUACACACUUGAAAGCUAUUAAAACAAAACUUUAUUUAAUGAGAAAUGUACCAGUUAAAAUACUAUAAACUAUACAAAAUAAAUUGAGCUGGAAAAAUACUGCAACAAAACCCAAAAACUACCCACUCAGGUGAGGAGAGUAAGGGUCUGCUUCCGGAGCAGAUGUUCCCUGGCUGUCAAUAAGGAGCUGCUGUGGAGGAGGUGUGGCAUCUAGCUCAGCCUCUGGUGCCCCAGACGGUGCUGGAGAUGGAGGACUUAAUGGUGUAGGGGGCUUCAGUGUUGGAACAGGAGCUGGAUCAAAUCAGCUGUUCGUCUGGGAGCCAGUUGGAAGUGGCCCAGGAUGGAAAUCUACCCCUCCAGCUGGCCCUUCAUCUGGUGUCGGUGAUGAAGCUGGAGAAGGAAGACCUGUGGCUUCAACAAGCUCCAGUGUUGGUCCAGGAUCAGAAUGAACAUCAGCCGGUGCUAUGGAAGCCGCUUCUGAAGGUGACCCAGGAUAGGAAUCCGAUGCUCCAGCUGGCUCUUUGUCUAGUGUCACUGCUGGAGCUGAUGAUGGAAUAACUGGUGCUCUAAGGAGCUCUGGUGUUGGUGCAGGAGCGGGAUCAACAUCAGCAGGUGAUGGAGGAACCUUUUCAGGAGGCUGUGGAGGGUUGGUAUCCAGCUCAUCCAGCCAGCUGUUCUCCUGGUGCCCAGGCCAGAGCUGGAGAUGGAGGGCGGUGGGCUACAGCGAGCUCUGGUGUUGGUGUAGCAGCAGGACUAGGGUUGACAUCAGCCGGUGGUCCAGGAGGCAGUUCUGGAUGUAGCCCAUGGUAAGAAUCAGACCUUCCAGCCAGCUGUCCAUCUGGUACCAGUGAUGCAGCUGGUGAUGGUGCUCCAUGGAGGUCCAGUGUUAGUCCAGGAGCAUGAUCAA